CUUUGUUAAUGCUUGUAAAAUAUCUACAGAGGCAACGCCUUUCAUUUGACAUUGUGCUGCUCCGUCUGGUGUGCCUGCCAUGCCCACUUGAGGUGCAACAGCUUCUCCUACGACUAAAAAAAUGGCGAGGAAAACUGGACUCACUUUUCACCGUUUUCCUGCAUGGAGGACCAAAUAUCAGAUCAUGAAGGCACGACGGAUGGCUGGGGCGCAGCGGUUCAUUGGAAAAGCAUUUCUCUUGAUCAUAUUUCUGCUGGAAUGAGAGUGUAUUCCCCUCAUCUCUACUCUUGAAAACCUGCAUAUGAAAUGCUGACAACACAUCCCGAUUGGUCACCAUAUCUCUUCUUGGGUUAUUCUGAGGUCAAGCGCACCACAUCGGAGCGUUAUGAGAGGUUGGAAAGGCGAAGAGUGCACGCUGAAACUUCAGUUUGCUCUGCUCUUACAAACACGAUCCCGAGUGUUGUUGUGAAAAGUCAAUAAAAUAUGAAUACCAAAACAUGACUUGAACAACUUCUUGACAAACUGUAACUGCUUGUUGUUUACUUCAGGUCUUCAUAAUAAACAGGUGUAAUAAUUACAAAGUCAGGUGACUUAAUUUUGUUAUUAUAUUUGGAAUAUGCAUUGACAAUUUUUGGACAGUGUUGUAGACAAGAACUGGGACUGAUAAGUUGCAAUAGAUUUAUUUCAAGUAAUGCAAUUUCUCCAAUACGAUAUUUGAAUUGACAGUUUAAAAUCUUUAAAUUAGUGCAAACAAGGCCCACCCUCUGACGGUGGCAGCAAAUAUUAUAUAAUUAUAAGUAAUACACAAAUACAAGAUCACAAUAAACGUGUCUUUGUCAAAGCAGUUUAAAACACUAUUUACUGGCCUUGGGUAAAUUGCCAGACAGGAUAAAUAUGUGCUUUAAAGUUCUUGCAUUUCCAUUUUAAGUAUUGCAAGUACUAGUCUCCAACACAGUAUUUGAACUGACAGUUUAAAAUCCUUUUAGUACAAAAUGGCCCACACUCUGGCAGGGGGCAGCAAAUAUUAUAAUACAUAAUACAUUAUAAAAAUCUAUAUAUUAUAUAAAUACAAGAUCACAACAAAACCUGUAUUUUUUCAAAGCAGUUAAAAAACAUCCAGUGGCCUUAGGUAAAUAAAGGUGUAUAAAUAUGUACUUUACAGUUCUUGCAUUUCUAUUUUAGGUAUUGCAACUUUUCCAACACUAUUUGAAUUGACAGUCUAAAGUCUCCAUAAGUGCAAAUAAGAAUAUUAUAAUUUAAAAAUAAUAAUAGAAUAUAUAAAUUCAACAUUACAAUGAAACGUGUCUUUGUCAAAGUGGUUUAAAAAAAAUAAUAAUAAUAAUAAUACGUCACUGGCCAUAGUUAAAUAGCCAGGCAGAAUAAAUAUGUGCAUUAAAGUUCUUGCAUUUUCACAAGUUAAAAGCCCGCAGUUCAUCGACGAGAAGGGCAGACCCAGAUGGCGUCUGCUGCAGGGGCUUGUUUGAGUCCGACACAGGACAAAUGGAACCACUCCAUUGAACAAAUUUUCUUUGUCAAAUGAUCCAAGAAGAGAGAUGGUGACCAAUCGGGAUGUGUUGUCAGCAGGUUUACCUAGGAACACAACAGGUAGGUGAGUCGUAGUAGGCGAGCAUUGCUACCGAGGCAGAUUUACACAACGGUGU
Molecule: long non-coding RNA, 1661 nt
Organism: Corythoichthys intestinalis (scribbled pipefish)
Lineage: Eukaryota; Metazoa; Chordata; Actinopteri; Syngnathiformes; Syngnathidae
Exons: 4
Source: RefSeq, a predicted model, not a curated record